Molecule: long non-coding RNA, 207 nt
Organism: Arabidopsis thaliana (thale cress)
Lineage: Eukaryota; Viridiplantae; Streptophyta; Magnoliopsida; Brassicales; Brassicaceae
Product: other RNA
Exons: 1
Source: RefSeq
CCUCGUGUGGUUGCAUUGUAAUAUCGGAUUUAGAAUCAAAUACGUAAACUCGGUGCAUAAAACACUUAAAUUUUAGCUCGAAUGCUUUAGAACAUCUCCAAUGUAUUCAUCUCUUUUUAAUCUUAUUAUUAGUAUUCUAUUUUAGUGUAAGAUAUAUAGUGAGACUUGCCACUUUUUUCCAAAAAGCAUAUCCUCUUCCGAAAUUCG